RNAcentral lists this ribosomal RNA (301 nucleotides) under uncultured bacterium. RNAcentral describes it as "partial 16S ribosomal RNA". It matches the Rfam family "Bacterial small subunit ribosomal RNA", at positions 509 to 807 of the family's 1533-position model. The record is from RNAcentral.
CAGUAGCCGCGGGAAUACGAAGGGUGCAAGCGUUACUCGGAAUUACUGGGCGUAAAGCGUGCGUAGGUGGUGGUUUAAGUCCGUUGUGAAAGCCCUGGGCUCAACCUGGGAAUUGCAGUGGAUACUGGGUCACUAGAGUGUGGUAGAGGAUAGUGGAAUUUCCGGUGUAGCAGUGAAAUGCGUAGAGAUCGGAAGGAACAUCUGUGGCGAAGGCGACUAUCUGGGCCAACACUGACACUGGGGCACGAAAGCGUGGGGAGCAAACAGGAUUAGAUACCCCCGUAGUCCCUGUCUCUUAUAC